RNAcentral lists this ribosomal RNA (274 nucleotides) under uncultured bacterium. RNAcentral describes it as "partial 16S ribosomal RNA". It matches the Rfam family "Bacterial small subunit ribosomal RNA", at positions 523 to 796 of the family's 1533-position model. The record is from RNAcentral.
AUACGGAGGGUGCAAGCGUUACUCGGAAUCACUGGGCGUAAAGCGCGCGCAGGCGGUCUUUUAAGUUGGAUGUGAAAGCCUACAGCUCAACUGUAGAACUGCAUCCAAAACUAUUAGACUAGAGUCUGGGAGGGGAAGAUGGAAUUAGUUGUGUAGGGGUAAAAUCCGUAGAGAUAACUAGGAAUACCAAAAGCGAAGGCGAUCUUCUGGAACAGUACUGACGCUGAGGCGCGAAAGCGUGGGGAGCAAACAGGAUUAGAUACCCUAGUAGUCC